Molecule: ribosomal RNA, 460 nt
Filed under: uncultured bacterium
Lineage: Bacteria
Description: partial 16S ribosomal RNA
Rfam family: Bacterial small subunit ribosomal RNA
Source: RNAcentral
CCUACGGGGGACAGCAGUGAGGAAUAUUGGUCAAUGGCCGUAAGGCUGAACCAGCCAAGUAGCGUGAGGGAAGACUGCCCUAUGGGUUGUAAACCCCUUUUAUGCGGGGAUAAAGGUGUCCACGUGUGGAUGUUUGCAGGUACCGCAUGAAUAAGGACCGGCUAAUUCCGUGCCAGCAGCCGCGGUAAUACGGAAGGUCCGGGCGUUAUCCGGAUUUAUUGGGUUUAAAGGGAGCGUAGGCCGGUCUUUAAGCGUGCCGUGAAAUUUUGUGGCUCAACCAUGAGAGUGCGGCGCGAACUGGAGACCUUGAGUGCGCGGAAGGCAGGCGGAAUUCGUGGUGUAGCGGUGAAAUGCGUAGAUAUCACGAAGAACCCCGAUUGCGAAGGCAGCCUGCCGCAGCGUUACUGACGCUGAGGCUCGAAAGCGCGGGUAGCGAACAGGAUUAGAUACCCCAGUAGUC